Sphaeramia orbicularis (orbiculate cardinalfish) is the source of this 643-nucleotide long non-coding RNA. RefSeq lists it as uncharacterized. The transcript has 3 exons. The record is from RefSeq and is a predicted model, not a curated record. NCBI's taxonomy places the organism in Eukaryota, Metazoa, Chordata, Actinopteri, Kurtiformes, Apogonidae.
CGUGUUUGGUGAUAAGCGUGCGAAAAAAGAGACUCCAAAUAAACCUUAUCACACGGCUGGAAGACAACUGAUACAGAAACAGACGGGAAACAAAGUUAACCCAUUCUCGUACCGUCCUCAUCAUGGCAUGUGUGUGGACUUCACUGAGGCUCACCAAAUUCAGAUGUGGUCACCUGCAGGACGUUCCCCUGAGGACCACGUAUGUAACAGAUUGGAAAGUGUUUUCUGCUCGAAUGCAUGGAACGAAUCAUGAGAAAAGAGGAGAACAAUCUCAGGAGGAGCUUAUGGAGACGGUACCAGUUCUUUAUAUGUCUGUGUUUUUGCACUCGUAUAUUUGACAGAAAAAGGGGGGUUGACGCUCAGUAUAACAUAGCAGUUUGGAAAAAUUAGUUGAAAGGCUUAUCCGUGAAGAGUCCAUUUAUUUUCAGAUUUUUUUCACAAUUGUGAAUGAUGUCUCAUGGCCAGACGGGAUGACAACACUUGAUCUCUUUUGUACAAAAAGAGAAAGAAGAAGGAAAAGUGCAGGGACUUGUGAUCACUGUUGCUGUUUUCGAUGCUUGUAUCUAAUGUGUAACACAUUCAGGAUUGUUCCACACGCUGAUCUCUUAAGUGCAUUUCAUUUACAAAAUUUUCACUUUUAGUG